GUUCAAACAGCACGAGGGUACCUCAGUCCCAGGAUUGUGGCAGCCACAUCAAGACCUGUCAUUUCAUGGCAAAUUCCAUGAAACACUUCUGGCUUUGGUUCAAAUUCCUUGCCUGGGAAUUGUCCCAAGUGCUCCUGCCCUGUACUGGAGUCAUACCUGCAGAUCAAACAGCUGCUUCUGAAGAAAAAUAAUAAGGCUUAAGUUUGAAGAAGUCCAUGGAGCAAAGGGCAGCAGCAGCACUGGAGCAGCAAAGCUGCCUUCCAUCCACGCCAGCACCCAACAAGGUCUUUGAGCUCCCCUGCAAGUUGCUGGUACCAGCACCAUGUGGCUGUGAGGUCCUUCGCUCCUCCCAUGCCUUCUG
This is a long non-coding RNA of Melopsittacus undulatus (budgerigar), 361 nucleotides long. RefSeq lists it as uncharacterized. The transcript is spliced from 3 exons. Lineage: Eukaryota; Metazoa; Chordata; Aves; Psittaciformes; Psittaculidae. The record is from RefSeq and is a predicted model, not a curated record.